Molecule: ribosomal RNA, 357 nt
Filed under: Blastocystis sp.
Lineage: Eukaryota; Bigyra; Opalinata; Blastocystidae
Description: partial small subunit ribosomal RNA
Source: RNAcentral
UGAGACAACGUACAACUCUUAUCGAUAAGCCAUUGGAGGSAAGUCUGGUGCMAGCAGCCGCGGUAAUUCCAGCUCCAAUAGCGUAUAUUAACGUUGUUGCAGUUAAAAAGCUCGUAGUUGAAGUGAGGGAGUGUGUGUUCAUGAGAGCUAGUCUCGAGKGUUCACAACCUCCCCCCUCCAAUCGGUGUAGKGGGGKAUUCAGUUAUUUCACUACUCCUUUGGUCGYUUACUGUGAGAAAAUUARAGUGUUCAAAGCGGGCGUUUGUUUGAAUAGAUUAGCAUGGAAUAAUGAUUGAAGGCUUUCGUGWUCGAUUUGAUUGGUUUGUUCAUGGAAGCAAGGUUAAAAGGAACAGUUGG